Molecule: ribosomal RNA, 301 nt
Filed under: uncultured bacterium
Lineage: Bacteria
Description: partial 16S ribosomal RNA
Rfam family: Bacterial small subunit ribosomal RNA
Source: RNAcentral
CAGUAGCCACGGUAAUACGUAGGGUGCAAGCGUUAAUCGGAAUUACUGGGCGUAAAGCGUGCGCAGGCGGUUAUAUAAGACAGAUGUGAAAUCCCCGGGCUCAACCUGGGAACUGCAUUUGUGACUGUAUAGCUAGAGUACGGCAGAGGGGGAUGGAAUUCCGCGUGUAGCAGUGAAAUGCGUAGAUAUGCGGAGGAACACCGAUGGCGAAGGCAAUCCCCUGGGCCUGUACUGACGCUCAUGCACGAAAGCGUGGGGAGCAAACAGGAUUAGAUACCCCCGUAGUCCCUGUCUCUUAUAU